Molecule: ribosomal RNA, 406 nt
Filed under: uncultured bacterium
Lineage: Bacteria
Description: partial 16S ribosomal RNA
Rfam family: Bacterial small subunit ribosomal RNA
Source: RNAcentral
AUUGAACGCUGGCGGCAGGCCUAACACAUGCACGUCGAACGAGUGGCGGACGGGUGAGUAAUGUCUGGGAAACUGCCUGAUGGAGGGGGAUAACUACUGGAAACGGUAGCUAAUACCGCAUACCAUCCGAUUUGCCCAGAUGGGCUUAGCUAGUCGGUGGGGUAAAGGCUCACCUAGGCGACGAUCCCUAGCUGGUAUGAGAGGAGGACCAGACACACUGGAACUGAGACAAGGUCCAGACUCCUACGGGAGGCAGCAGUGGGGAAGAUGGCACAAUGGGCGCAAGCCUGAUGCAGCCAUGCCGCGUGUAUGAAGAAGGCCUUCGGGUUGUAAAGUACUUUCAGCGGGGAGGCGUUACCCGCAGAAGAAGCACCGGCUAACUCCGUGCCAGCAGCCGCGGUAAUAC